CCAUACUGUGUCUGUACUGCCAUGCACCUAUAAUACGUUGUAUAGUGAAAAUCCACCCUUCCUUGGCAAUAGUCUAGAAGCAGUUUUUCGAACCUCUCACGCUGCAGUGCUUAGACAUGCUUUACUGCGUUACUGAACGAUACCAAGAGUGACAGAACUCUUUUAAAUAUGCCCCCUCUGUCCUGCUACUUCCGUCACGCUGCCUGCGUCGUCGGCCUCACUUUCGCGCAUCACUUCCGCUUCAGCAAGCGUCAUUCCCACAAUCUACUUUUCCUCAUCGAACUGUGCUAAUCGCAUGGGCUCAGGUCAUGUCCGGCCUUUUUUUGCGGAACCCAUAGACGCGAAAGAGCGUCGUCCGCUCUAGGGUGAGAACGUCGCUAUUCACAUAAUAGCAUUUAGACAACGUUCGUCGUCGACAUGUUUUCCUAAGUUACCAAACUGUAGUGCAACGCGUUGAGACAUUCACGCUAUUCGACGACAAGGUACAGUUCUUAAAGUUUAUCGUCAAAUCUUUUUCUCCCAACCUCGACACGGUCCCGUUGAACCCCACCCCGAGGCACGUGUCAGCCAAUUGACCAGCAAGGACUUAUAAAGAAGAAUAAGAAAAGCGGCAUAAAACUUUGGUGGGCACAACAGGCGACAAAUGCGACCCAUCUGCGCAUAGGCGGGACAGUGAAGGAAAAUAUUCUCGCAAGCGUCGUUUUUUCCAUGGAAAUUUUAUCUGGCACGUCGAGCAGAAGUACGCGGCGAUGCGACGCGCACCGUCGUGCCGUUCCUUCAGUGCGGACGGCCAGCAUUGACAGCGAACUUAUGAUAGCGAUCAUCGCGUCUGACGCAUGUAACCACAACGGCGAUCGACAUCCAGGCACGACAGUGAGAUUACUCGUUCUCUGAUGUUACGUGUGAACGUUAACAUACAAUAUCAAUAUCGUAAAUAAUGCAGCGGCUCAUGCAGGUCGAAUCGUGCCUAUAAACCUACCUCGUUACAUUCGCCUAUGCUGCAGCGAAAAUUGCCGACCUGGUUUACCUAAUCCGUCUUCUAACAUAGUAAAAAAACAAAAUAAAUAGUACGAGAGCUCAUAUUAACUUCGAAAUCACGUCUUUAACACUAGAAGAAUAUUGACGGGUCAUUUUUGCAGUGUCUUGGAUAUCGUACAAAUGAUCAAAGAAUAUAAUCACGAGGCUGCUAUUGUUUAUAGAACAGGUAUAUAAACAAGAAACUCAG
Long non-coding RNA from Varroa destructor (honeybee mite), 1225 nucleotides. RefSeq lists it as uncharacterized. Lineage: Eukaryota; Metazoa; Arthropoda; Arachnida; Mesostigmata; Varroidae. The record is from RefSeq and is a predicted model, not a curated record.